UUACAGCCAUAUCAUGUUGAAACUGGUUCCCAUGCAGUCACUGAUGUUAAGCAACAUUGAGCCUGGCCAGUAUCUAGAUGGGGAACUGCAUGGGAAUACCAGGUGCUGUAAG
Non-coding RNA from Acanthosepion pharaonis, 112 nucleotides. Lineage: Eukaryota; Metazoa; Mollusca; Cephalopoda; Sepiida; Sepiidae. The record is from the annotation of a GenBank genome assembly.